RNAcentral lists this ribosomal RNA (543 nucleotides) under Staphylococcus sp. RNAcentral's name for it is "bacterial SSU rRNA". It matches the Rfam family "Bacterial small subunit ribosomal RNA", at positions 399 to 930 of the family's 1533-position model. Lineage: Bacteria; Bacillati; Bacillota; Bacilli; Caryophanales; Staphylococcaceae. The record is from RNAcentral.
GCGUGAGUGAUGAAGGUCUUCGGAUCCUAAAACUCUGUUAUUAGGGAAGAACAAAUGUUUUAGUAAUUAUGCACGUCUUGACGGCCCUAAUCAGAAAGCCACGGCUAACUACGUGCCAACAGCCGCGGUAAUACGUAGGUGGCAAGCGUUAUCCGGAAUUAUUGGGCGUAAAGCGCGCGGAGGCGGUUUUUUUAGUCUGAUGUGAAAGCCCACCGCUCAACCGUGGAGGGUCAUUGGAAACUGGAAAACUUGAGUGCAGAAGAGGAAAGUGGAAUUCCAUGUGUAGCGGUGAAAUGCGCAUAGAUAUGGAGGGACACCAGUGGCCAAGGCCACUUUUCUGUUCUGUAACUGACGCUGAUGUGCGAAAGCGUGGGGAUCAAACAGGAUUAGAUACCCCUGGUAGUCCACGCCGUAAACGAUGAGUGCUAAGUGUUAGGGGUUUUCCGCCCCUUAGUGCUGCACCUACGCAUUAAAGCACUCCGCCUGGGGAGUACGGACCGCAUCGUUGAAACCUCAAAGGAAUUGACGGGGACCCGCACAAGC